CACAUGAACUGAGCAGGAACUGAAGAAAAUGCAAGAUGGCUACUGACUUGUAAGCAAACAUUCAUCGGUCGGAAUUAUCUUACUAUGAAAUCGUGAAAAACCUAUCUACAUUUGUCAAAUGGAAACACUGAAAUACAAGCACGUCAUUUCGAGGUAGGCCCGCUGGAAUAUGUUCGUGGAAACCACACUGACCGAGUUACCUAGUCUCUAACAAAGUGUGCUUUCUUAAAGUGUCUACGGUGCUGCUCGUUCAUUAAAAGAACGUGCAACAGCCAUGAGCACUUCAUCCCUUCAUUGCUGGCAGGAAGAGGAGUUUACAAUUUUGGCAUUGUGUGCCCAGUGUACACCUUUUCAGAUGGUAAGAGAAAACACAUAUUUCCAAAUUUUAAUCAGAAAUAUUAUUUGAUUGUCAAAUUGUUACGAUGUAUUUAUUACCCCACUCCUAGAAAUCGUGGCCACCUUGUCACUUAACUGGAUUCAUUGAGCAGAUUAACUGUUCAAAGUCUAACAAACUUGAACAGAAGAGGUAGGCUUGUUGUCCUUGAUUUCCUAAAUAACAUUGAGUUGAUGAAAAUUAUUACAAUUUUUAAAAGCUAGGUAACUGUGAUAACAAAUAUAACACUUUGGAAUGGAUUUACAGGGAAAGGAACUUGUUUGGAAUUUAUAUGACAAUUUAUAAAUUAAAUCUGAGAUACUGCAAUAAGCUUUGUGAAGCAGACUCAAGACUUUAGCAUCAGUCUUAAUUGUCGAUCGUUCUGUCAGCUGCCGCUCUUUAAGACAGGAGGAAAAGCUCUUCUGGAAGUUUGAGGGAGUCAUGAUGACUCUGACAGUUGUCUUCAUCCUACUUGUGAUUGCCCGUCAGCGUGGCUUGGACCGCCUUGCCUCAGAGAAGGUCCGUCGGCAGAUCGAAUCCAUAUAGUCUCCUCCAAAGUUGAACUACCUCAUUUACCAUUGUGAGCAUUUUACUGCACUUUAAUGUCAUUUCUUCAUGUAGUGGCCUUAUUGAGUAUGUAUAUACCAAGGUGUAAUCGUUUAUGGAUACAAAUGUGUCUGUCUUACUUGAUUAUAUUGAGGGUUUAAACACGGUGUUAUUUAUCAGUCAUCUGUAUAAUUCCUUCUCAUGCCUUAAGUUUUCAGUUUGAGAUCAAAAGUGCUUGCUGUUAAUGCAGUACAACAAUAUAUAGUUAUUUAAGGUUGUGAUGUAAUCUGUUAUGUUUCUUCUUACUAAAGUCCCAAUGCUUUGUUAACAUAUCCAUAACCUGAGUACUAAAGUACUACAGAACAUUUAAUGUUGUUGCAUGUAAUUAAAAUGUAAAAAUAUGUA
RNA transcript from Hypomesus transpacificus, 1324 nucleotides. It is a transcript of the gene named protein JTB-like, with no coding region annotated. The transcript has 3 exons. Lineage: Eukaryota; Metazoa; Chordata; Actinopteri; Osmeriformes; Osmeridae. The record is from RefSeq and is a predicted model, not a curated record.